This 75-nucleotide transfer RNA is filed under the name Candidatus Woesearchaeota archaeon. Its description in RNAcentral is "tRNA-Ile". It matches the Rfam family "tRNA". From Rfam's summary of the family: Transfer RNA (tRNA) molecules are approximately 80 nucleotides in length. Their secondary structure includes four short double-helical elements and three loops (D, anti-codon, and T loops). The record is from RNAcentral. Lineage: Archaea; Nanobdellati; Candidatus Woesearchaeota.
GGCCCUGUAGCUUAGCUUGGCUGGAGCGCCGGUCUUAUAAGCCGGAGGUCGCGAGUUCAAAUCUCACCAGGGCCA